This 542-nucleotide ribosomal RNA is filed under the name uncultured bacterium. Its description in RNAcentral is "bacterial SSU rRNA". It matches the Rfam family "Bacterial small subunit ribosomal RNA", at positions 355 to 893 of the family's 1533-position model. The record is from RNAcentral.
UAGGGAAUCUUCCGCAAUGGGCGAAAGCCUGACGGAGCAACGCCGCGUGAGUGAUGAAGGUCUUCGGAUCGUAAAACUCUGUUAUUAGGGAAGAACAUAUGUGUAAGUAACUGUGCACAUCUUGACGGUACCUAAUCAGAAAGCCACGGCUAACUACGUGCCAGCAGCCGCGGUAAUACGUAGGUGGCAAGCGUUAUCCGGAAUUAUUGGGCGUAAAGCGCGCGUAGGCGGUUUUUUAAGUCUGAUGUGAAAGCCCACGGCUCAACCGUGGAGGGUCAUUGGAAACUGGAAAACUUGAGUGCAGAAGAGGAAAGUGGAAUUCCAUGUGUAGCGGUGAAAUGCGCAGAGAUAUGGAGGAACACCAGUGGCGAAGGCGACUUUCUGGUCUGUAACUGACGCUGAUGUGCGAAAGCGUGGGGAUCAAACAGGAUUAGAUACCCUGGUAGUCCACGCCGUAAACGAUGAGUGCUAAGUGUUAGGGGUUCCGCCCCUUAGUGCUGCAGCUACGCAUUACACUCCGCCUGGGGAGUACGACCGCAAGU